Molecule: long non-coding RNA, 1427 nt
Organism: Hibiscus syriacus
Lineage: Eukaryota; Viridiplantae; Streptophyta; Magnoliopsida; Malvales; Malvaceae
Exons: 3
Source: RefSeq, a predicted model, not a curated record
AACAACCAAAGCCACAUACAUCCCUUGCUCGAUAGCCUCACCAUCGUGAGUAGCUUGCUUGCUUUUUGAUGGCAGCAAAUCAGCUACCAGAACCGUCAUGGGAGGAACUGCUCGGUAGAAAAAAAAAUUUGGACUCGCUUCUCGAUCCUCUUGACCUCUCACUUCGCAAACUCAUUCUCCGCUGCGGUGACUUCUGCCAGGCAACAUAUGACGCCAAGCUUGAGCCUGUCGAACCCCUUUUGCGAGUCGAUGAAAAUACCAACAACCAAAAAGAAAGCAAUCCCUCGUAAAACUGCUGGUCAAUCAUGGGAGGAUCUAACACUUGCGGAAUGGCCUGAAAAUGACUUUCGUCUAUUUUGUGGUGAUAUGGGUAAUGGGCUGUAUGUUUGUGUUUAAGGAACCAUUUAUGAAUGCUACGACUGCAGCUGGAAACGAUGAUAGCACAACGUAGACAGGGAAAGAAGAAAUAGGUUGAUCCUAUAUCAAGAACGGGGUAUCAGAAAGGGAAGCUAUGGAGGGUCUUUAGCCAACGUCGAUCUGUCGUAGCUAAGUCCGCAGCCCCUAGGAGCUUCUUAUAUCCAGAACCGGUCAAAGGGUCCAAGCGAUGAUCACCAAUGUUUGAUUUCGGUUGGUGAAGAUUCUUGCUACAGAGCACGCUGGUAAGGCUUAUUAAGCGUGAAAGAAGGAAGAAAAUAAGAAAAGUAUGAAUGUUAGAGAGAGCACGUGGGUUGUAGCAAAAUUUAAUAAAGGAUGAAGGGUAAAUCACAAUAGGAGUCAUCCAAGUUUGGUGAGAAUUCAACCUUGUCUUCUAUUUUCUAUAUAAUUAUGAAUGUUGUCUAAUGGUUUGAAUAAGAUUAUUUUGGUCACUUGCCUUGGUAGCUAAGUAUUAAAUUGACCCUUUGAGUUCUUAAUUUUGUCAGUUAUGUCCCUCUAUUACAGAAAGUAUUUUUUAUAAAAAAAAAAUUAUGGCUAGGAAAUUUAUUUUGGAAUUUGAGUUUGAUAUUUAAAGGUCAAGGUUCUUGAGAAAAAGAUUGGAAGCUAGAAAUUGAGUUGGUGAGCUUAAAUUCAAAAGUUAUUGUUUGGGUUUUGUUGACAUCUUGAGCCCGAUUUCGAAGUUCGUUUUGUCAAAUUCGUACCCAAUAAGCUGUUUUUUAAGGUUUUAACUUCGGAUUUAAUAUUGGUUUCUCAAUUAAUUUCAUUUUCUGACAUAACAUCAGUUGCUUUGUAUUUGAGGAAUCAUUGGAUGUGGGAUUCAAGUUCGAGGGCGAUCGAAUGGAGUUUAAAUGGUCGAUCGGUAUAGAAUUGAAAUCGAGGUUAAAAGAAUCGUACCAGUGCAUCUAUCGACAUCAGUAAGAGAGUUCUUCCGGCUUAGAUUUCAAAUUAUAGUACAUGUGAUUAGGAGACAUGUAAUAGUAUUUUGUUUUACA